AGUUGUCCUUAGAAACCUCAAGCAACUCCAUGGCAUGCCGCUCGUUUGGGGCAAAGCCAUACCCCUUUCAGGCCAGGUCUGCACAAACUCAGUGUUCUUGGUGAGGUGCCCAUGGUGGUGGCGACUGAGCCUGGGCUUUCUCCUUACCCCAUCAUUACCUGGGCCCUUGCUGAGACCCCAGUCAUGGGGUGGCACAGAGCCAUGGCUACUCCUUUUCAAUCUCAAUGAAAGUCUUAUAAGAAUCCUAGCUGGUUUCUUUAUAGAAAUUGACAAGCUAAUUGUAAAGUUUAUAUAGAAGUUCAAUGGGUGCAGAAUAGAUAAAACAACCUUGUAAAAGAAGAGCAAAGUUGGAGGACUCACACUUCCUGAUUUCAAAACAUUAUUGCAAAGCAACAGUAACUAAGACAGUGUGGUAGUAGCAUAAGGAUAAGCAGACAGAUCAAUGGAAUAGAAGUGAGAGUUCAGAAAUAUACCCACAUGUCUAUGGGAAACUUAUUUUGACAAGGUUGUCAAGAACAUCCAGUAAGGAAACACUAGUUUCAACUAAUGGCAAAGGGACACCUGGAUAUCCAUAUGCAGAUGUAUGAAGUUGGACCCUUACCUCAAAUCAUAUACAAAAAUUAAUUCCACAUUAAUUGAUUACCUAAAUGUAAGAGCCAAAACCAUAAAGCUCUUAGAAGAAAACACAGAAACUAAUCUUUGU
Molecule: long non-coding RNA, 703 nt
Filed under: Homo sapiens (human)
Lineage: Eukaryota; Metazoa; Chordata; Mammalia; Primates; Hominidae
Description: non-protein coding lnc-CD14-2:1
Source: RNAcentral